GUGGAGUUCACGUGCACCGCGUACUGAUGACUAAUACCAACCACUCUGGGACGGAGAAGUGAAGAGCAGGAUGUAGAUAUCAAGACAACCGGCACAGACUGGACGUCGUGUCACGUAAUAUGUCUCCCAAGUGAUAGACGCAUCGCAGUGCUGAUAUAAAAGGUUAGGAAUAUGAUCACAUAAAUAGCUACAUGGCCGGUAAACUACACGUUCUCAUCAAUCACUUCCACUUUGAGUCCAUUGGCAAUCAGUCAAAGCCAAGGCACGGCGUCAUAAUGGAGCAGCAGCUCUGGAUGGACGAGGAUGCCAUCCAUCAGUUUGAAGGGACGCCGCUGAUGUGUGACUUCCCGUCCAUCUCGUCAGUCAUCUUCAUUGUUAAAGUUGGAGGUAAGGUUGGGAAAUUGAGGGCCUGUUCAUCAAGCGUUUCAGAGGGAACUGGGGACAGGCUAAUGAGAAAGCCAUCUUUCACAGACCAAGCCUGGCGGUGUGAUAAUUGCGCGAAACCAAAAAAUUAAAUAAAAAAACUACUGAGGAACAAGGAGUUAAAUUGAAAAAAAGCCUUCUGAGCCUUGCACUUCAUCCACUUAGCUGGGUUUCGCAGUGUUUUCCACCAAUUUCUUGGUUGAGCAGACACACAUAAAUUGAUACAAAUCCAUAAUCCAGAUUGGGGCUUAAAUCCGUCUCUGCUUCCUGCUUUUCCUAACAGGCGUGUGUUGAGUAUUGAUCGCAGCCUGAAUAAUUGAGAAGCUUAAGCUAAGCAAGCAUGUGAGGGGAAAUGGUACUGAAUAGUACAUCCAAAAAAUGGGCAUCAAAUUUGAAGUGCAAAGAACUGCAGUGCAAGUCCACAAUAAAUUGGGCCUUUUGGUUUAGUUAAUGCACAAAUGCACAAGUUUUUUACUCGUAAUGUUCACUGAGGUAAUUUUGCAUCUGCUGCAGGUUGAGGUUUUACUGGCAUACUGUACUACACCUGACUUUAACAAUGCAAGGAGGAUUUUCCGUCUGCAGCGUGGUAAAGCCGACACUGCAUGUUUGUCAUUAUAAAACAUUUACAAAGGAAUCCAAUGUAUUGCACAGGACACUUCAACGAGCUUUCCCAGGGUCUCGCCCUUCAUCGCUCCUAAAGGGACUUAUU
Gasterosteus aculeatus aculeatus (three-spined stickleback) is the source of this 1132-nucleotide long non-coding RNA. Lineage: Eukaryota; Metazoa; Chordata; Actinopteri; Perciformes; Gasterosteidae. The record is from Ensembl.